GGGCAGGGGAGGCCGGGGCCGGGCGCAGGCAGCGUCCAGCCGAGGGGCUGAGCCCGCGCCAACCCUUCCUUCCCUCCUGCUGCUCUCUCCAGCUGGUAGAGGACAGGAGCCAAGUUACGAAACGCAUGCACUGGGCACUGCGGUUCCUGGAUAGCCCACAGGAGCCCUUGCGAGAGGCAGCCAUCAGGAUCAUCGGCAUGGCUGGGCGGUGCCAGAGGGAGAAGAGGGACGAGCUCCAGGCCCACAGUCAGGCCAAUUAAGUCUCAAGGGAAGACAGAAGUCCAUCCCACUUAAACCUGAAUAUUCAUGCCAAAUUUACCAGAAGAGCUGAAGAAUUAGA
Molecule: long non-coding RNA, 340 nt
Organism: Haemorhous mexicanus (house finch)
Lineage: Eukaryota; Metazoa; Chordata; Aves; Passeriformes; Fringillidae
Exons: 3
Source: RefSeq, a predicted model, not a curated record